GGUGUGGUAAGGCAUGAGGACUGUGUGCAGCACAGCCAGCUGGCAGCCGGCCUGGGUGGCCACGGGUCCAGCCUGAUGGUGCGGACACAGCAGGGUUUCCGCUGCCCUUUCCUUCCCAUUGUGCUGUCGUUUUCAAAGUGUUCCUUCUCUUUCUUCGUAGGCUACGUUUCCUGGUUAAGAAAUGGCAAGAGGUAGAUCGGAAAGGAGCCCCGCCACAAGGCAGAGCCCCCCACCCAGGGCCCCGAGUGCCACGGCAGCAGCUGCCUCCAUCAGAAACCAGAGUGACCCCACCAACCCAGGACCAGCCUUCUGACCUUGCCAGGGACCCUGCCCGAGGCUCUGGACCUGGGGCAGCAGCCUCCCCGAGCCGGAAGGAGAGGUCAGUUGUGCUUCAGCUUGCUUGCCUCCCUGCAGCCUGUGGCUCCUCAGCACUGGCCUAACCCAGAGCAAGGCUGGCUAGUUCUGUCUAGGAGUUCUGGGGACUCGCCAGGUGCAGAGGGAAAUGGCCUUGGGAUGAGGACAGCCAGGUGGGACUGGACAGCUUGUGCUUUGCCUAAGGAAGGGCAGGUGGGCCACCCUCAGGCUGUGGGAUGAAGGAUGCAGUUUGGCAAACAGAUGCAUAUUUGAUGGUUUAGUGAAUGAAGUAACAUGACAGUUUCGACUCUUAACUGUGAAGCAGUAUAGAAUUAGUUUUUAAAGCACUAUGUAGCAUUUUUUUAAAAAGUCUUGCUGUUCUCUCUGUGGUAAAGAAAGGACGUGAAAUGGCCCGAGGUGACAACUGCCCAGGAGCCUGGUCUGCAGCGCCUGGCUCUGUCUUCUUUGUACACAUUCACCAUGGUGCCAUCUGUUGGGUUCAACCUUUCCUUUUUUCUUUUCUCUCCUCAAUUGGUGGUUUGCUUGAAGAUCUGCUCCGUCCCCAAAUUCAAAAUUAGAAAGAGUUCUGGCUGCCUCUCAAGAUUCAGAACAUUCCUUGACAGAAUAUAUUCACCAUUUAGAAAUGAUCCAGCAGAGACUAGGAGGCACCCCACCAGGUAAUGACAGUUGUUGAAUUGCUUGUUAAAAAUUGCAUGACUCACCCUGGAAAUGUGAGCUGAUGUAGACAGGAGUGCUGGUAUCCACUCAAUCCUUGUUGGCUUCAGGCUUACACUCAGUUGGGGUGCAGCGUGGACAAGGAGACACUCAGGGUGCCGGUCAGUGUGGCUUAGGCCCCUGGACCUUUUGUCCUUUCUCUUAUAUUGAGAUUAUCCAGUGUUCCUUUCUAUUUUUUAAUAUGUGCUUAAAAAAUUACAUUUGUAUGUGUUUUUAGUUGUAGAUGGACACAAUACCUUUGUUUCAUUUAUUUAUUUCAUGGGG
This 1353-nucleotide long non-coding RNA is filed under the name Sciurus vulgaris (Eurasian red squirrel). RNAcentral's name for it is "lncRNA (ENSSVLG00005018064.1)". Lineage: Eukaryota; Metazoa; Chordata; Mammalia; Rodentia; Sciuridae. The record is from RNAcentral.